This is a long non-coding RNA of Trematomus bernacchii (emerald rockcod), 863 nucleotides long. RefSeq lists it as uncharacterized. The transcript has 2 exons. The record is from RefSeq and is a predicted model, not a curated record. NCBI's taxonomy places the organism in Eukaryota, Metazoa, Chordata, Actinopteri, Perciformes, Nototheniidae.
AACGCUGCAGGCCUGGCCUCACGUCUGAGCCUCAGGUCAGUCCGGGUGGUCAGCCUCCUGCUGCAGAGCUGGAAACAGCAGCUCAGCCAAUCAGAGCUGGCACUGAUUGCUGCUCAUUGUAACGGACUGAAGUCUCCAAAUGACAAUGACUCUUUUCCAGAGAUGCUAUGUUUUCCUGAUCUCAGUUGUGCUGAAUCAGAGCAGACUCCAGGAGCGAGUGGACACCCAGUGGAGAGCCCACCUGGGCCUGACGGAGGCUCAGAGGCCUGAGUGGAGAGCGCUCUACAAGCCUCCGCUGACUAAGAGGGGUGGGGACCUCCAGUGGAGGGUUCUCCACGCUGCGGUAGCGGUAAAUGCGUUUGUGUCAGUGAUCAACCCUACAGUGUCUGACGCCUGUCCUUUUUGUGAACAGAGGGAAACCAUUUUUCAUUGCUUUACAGAAUGUGGUCGACUCCUUUGUCUUUUUCAGUUACUCGCUCAGAUGUUGAUUUUGUUUAAUGUGGUUUUUUCUAACUCAAUGUUCAUUUUGGGUUGUAGGUACAGCCAGAAGCAAAAGUCAGCUUUUGAAUUUUUUGUUGGGGCAGGCUAAAAUGGCCAUCUACCUCAGCAGGAGGAAUAAAGUUGCGGAGUCACUGGAUACCGAUGCAGUUUUGAUUUUCAAGCGGAUGGUAAAAGCAAGACUAAAAACGGACUACAGUUACUUUUGCUUAACCAAAGAUGUGGGAGAAUUUGAGGCCAUGUGGUGUCUUAAAAAUGCUUUGUGUUCUGUGGUGAAUGAGGAUCUUAUUUUCAGUCGUUUUCUGAACUGACAAUGUGUGUCAUUGUGUCUGUUUGGUUAUUUGCUUUGUGAAUAAAAGUGGUUU